Macadamia integrifolia is the source of this 4073-nucleotide RNA transcript. It is a transcript of the gene named pentatricopeptide repeat-containing protein At2g17140, with no coding region annotated. The record is from RefSeq and is a predicted model, not a curated record. The transcript is spliced from 4 exons. Lineage: Eukaryota; Viridiplantae; Streptophyta; Magnoliopsida; Proteales; Proteaceae.
AGCUCAACUCCUCGUAGCCUCAUUAUUACUGGUUAUUUGAAAUUUGAAUUGUUUCGGUUUCGUCUUGUGACUCCAAUGUCCACUCUUCAGAAUGACGAUUCAAACUAGGAACCAUAUCGAUUUACCGUUAAAUUAAUGGAUCAAACCACCAAUCUGGCCAGAGCCUUCCUCAAGAAUGCUCACAAUCCAUUCCUCUCAUGGAACCUAUUCAAACAAUUUCUCUUAUCUCCUCCUCCUUCGACUUCAUCUAUUCCUCAGUUCAUUCCCGCCAUUGCACGCACUCUUGCUGGCGCGAAAAUGAUCCCGGAAAUCGAUCAACUUCAUAGGCUUCUCCUCGUUCUGCCCCCUGAAAUAGCCCGCCUUUCUCUUGUCUCCCUCGCGCAAGAGCUUGUAAAAUGUGGUCUCCUUGACAAGGCUUUCUCUGAAUUUCAAUUCCUUCGAAGACAUUUCCCGGUUAAAGCUCCACCAGUUCGCCUCUACAACGUGUUGCUCGAAUCCUCUCUUCGUCAAAAUCGGCUCGAAUGUGUCUCUGCGUUGUACAAGGACAUGCUAGUCGCUGGGACUAGACCGGAAACUUACACUUUCAACCUUUUGAUAUCUUCCCUUUGUGAUUCUGGUCGUGUAAAAGAAGCCCAAAAGGUGUUCGAUAAAAUGCGUGACAAAGGAUGUGAACCGAAUGAGUUCAGUUUUGGGAUUUUGGUUCGUGGGUAUUGCAGAGCUGGACUUAGUCUCCGUGGUUUGGAGCUCUUGAAUGCGAUGCCAAGUUAUGGUUGUGCUCCUAAUAGAGUGAUUUACAACACUCUAGUCUCUAGUUUCUGUAGGGAGGGUAAGGUUGAUGAAGCUGAGAAAUUGGUAGAGAAGAUGAGAGAGGACGGUCUCUUUCCCAACGUUGUUACUUUUAAUGCCAGGAUUUCAGCGCUUUGUGAUGCAGGGAAGAUCAUAGAAGCUUCUAGAAUUUUCAGAGAUAUGCAGACAGAUGACGCUUUGGGUUUGCCUAGGCCUAAUCUAAUUACCUUCAAUUUAAUGCUACAAGGGUUCUACAAGGAAGGAAUGAUUGAGGAGGCUGAAGUCCUGAUUGAAUCUAUGAAAAGAGAUGGUGUCUUUACGAAAGUGGAGAGUUACAAUAUAUGGUUGUUAGGUCUAGUGAGAAAUGGGAAGCUGUUAGAGUCACAGUUAGUGUUUAAAGAGAUGUUAGUGAAGGGCAUAACCCCAAAUAUUUACUCAUACAAUAUCAUGAUUGAUGGGCUAUGCAAGAACGGGAUGAUGUUAGAUGCUAGAAUGGUUAUGGGUUUGAUGAUAAGAAAUGAGAUUUUACCAGAUACAGUAACUUAUAGUACUUUGCUUAACGGAUAUUGCAGUAAAGGUAAGGUCUCUGAAGCCAAUAAUAUACUCCAUGAGAUGAUGAGGAAUGGGUGUUAUCCAAACACUUGUACUUGCAAUAUCUUGUUGCAGAGUUUAUGGAAAGAAGGGAGGAUCACAGAAGCAGAGAAAUUGCUGCAGAAAAUGAAUGAGAAAGGAUACGAAUUAGAUAUUGUGACCUGUAAUAUUGUGAUUGAUGGUCUCUGCAAGAAUGGGAGAUUGGAUAAGGCAAUUGAAAUUGCUAGUGGGAUGUGGAUGCAUGGAAGUGCCGCCCUUGGUGAUCUAGGGAACUCAUUUCUUGGUCUUGUAGAUGAUACCGAUAGCAAGAGAUGCGUCCCUGAUUUGAUCACGUACUCAAUGAUAAUUGAUGGGUUAUGCAAGGCUGGGAGACUAGAUGAAGCUAAAAGGAAAUUCAUGGAGAUGAUGGGGAAAAACAUGGAUCCCGAUCCAGUUAUCUACAAUACUUUUAUACAUGGUUUUUGUCAGCACGGUAAGCUAUCAUCGGCAUUUCGGGUUCUUCAAGACAUGGAAAAAAAAGGUUGCAAUUUGAGUAUUCGAACUUACAAUUCACUGAUAUGGGCCCUUGGGAGUAAACAACAAAUAGAUGAGAUCUACAGACUGAUGAAAGAGAUGAGAGAACGAGGGGUUUCCCCCAAUGUCUUCACUUAUAAUAACCUGAUUAGUUCUCUUUGUGAAGGAGGGCGGACAAAGGAUGCUACUACUCUAUUGGAUAAAAUGUUGCGGGAGGGUAUCUUCCCUAAUAUUUCUUCAUUCAGGUUGUUGAUCAAAUCGUUUUGCAAGGUCUGUGACUUUGGGGCAGCACAAGAGGUGUUUGAAAUUGCUUUAAGCAUAUGUGGCCAUAAUGGAGCACUAUAUAGUUUAUUGUUUAAUGAAUUUCUUGUUGGAGGGAAAAUUUCAGAAGCUAAGGAACUAUUUGAUGCUUCAAUAGAUAAAGGUUUUGAUGUGGGAGCUUUCUCAUACAAAGAUCUGGUUGAGGCACUCUGCAAGGAAGAGAAGUUGGAGGAAGCUUGCAGCAUUCUUCACAAGAUGGUUGAUAAAGAAUGUGGGUUUGAUCCUGCAUCAUUUAUGCCAGUGAUUGAUGCAUUGGGUAAAGGUGGAAACAAACAUGAAGCUGAUGCACUUGCCGAGAGGAUGAUGGAGUUGGCUACAGAAGGAAGAGUAGCAAACAAGGUUUAUAGAAAAGGAUUUAAUGAGAAGGUAGUGAACCAUCAGAAACCAAAAGAAGGCGGGUUUUCUGGAAGUGAUUGGCAUUCUAUGUUACACAGAGAUGAUGGGAGUGGGAUAGCAUUGAAAGUUCUUAAAAGGGUACAAAAGGGCUGGGGUCAAGGAAGUAUAUCAAGUUUGCAAUCCCAGAAAAAUGAUUUGCCCGACUACUGGGAAGAUACUGGGUAACCAUUUCUCUGGAAUAAAUGGUCAAGUUUGGCGUGGAGGUUCACAGUUUCGUAUUAACUGGAAGCAAAGUUUUGAACCUUGUGUAGGAUAGAACCUUCUCUUGGGGCCAUAAGCGGUUGAAGUACCUGCUUUGAUCCAUGAAAUGCAGUGUUAUGGAGAGGACAAGUCAUAACCAAUGGCUGCCUUUGCUCACCUCUGGUUAGAUGUUUGAGUAGCAAAUGCAAAACGAGGUCCAAUCUGGUGGAUUUUACAAGAGGACGGUUUCGCUGCUUACUUGGCCUGACUCAUGAUUCUCCUAGACUGUUGUUCUCGAUUACCUUUAAGAGAUGAGUUGGGACAAAGGCAUCUAAAGGAAAAAUAGAAGUAGUUGAGCUAUGUUGCUGGUAAAGUAUUUUAAUGAUAGUGCCGCUAGUUCUCAACUGAUCUUCAUAGAUUUUUCACUGGUGCACUCAAAUUAUUUGGAGCAUUAUGCUAUAUUCAAAUGGAACAGUCAAUCAUAUUCCUAAAGGAAGCCUUUUGCAAAUUUGAUGACGUACUUGAGCAUGUUUAUUAAUUCUGUCUUGAUGUUCUUGGGUGCCAGCUUAAUAUCUUCCACUGUGAGUCCAUCAACUUGACUUCCAGUUUCAAUGAAUUCUCCUUUGCCUUCCCUGGUUUAUAUUGUACGAGUGUAGAAUGGGAGUGGCACUGUGGCAGAUGAGAUAAAGAUAGCUUACUCAGCAAAGAAAUAAGAAUGAAAAAGGAUGCAUGUUAUCUCCCAGACCGCAUUUUAUUUUAUUUUAUGUUGGUGUACGGAUGCACAUUUUGUGUGUUAUCUACAACUUACUGUAAAGAAAGAGUGUGCCCGUUCUCACAUGGGGGGAUUCAGGGUGUGCUAAUGCACCAAAAAGCACACUGCAUGUGCUAAGGAUAAAGGAGGAGAAAAGAGAAUAAUCUCCUAUCUUGCCUCAAGCGGAUCAACGCCUAGUACCUGAUAGAUCAUCUAUACAAGUCAACAGUUCGAAGUCAUAUCAGUCAUAUAGUUUUCUGCGUUCAUUUGGCAGUGUGGAAAAAGGCACCAAAGAAUGCUUGAACAAGCUUCAAGCCUUGAAAUAAUGUGUUGAAAAUUGUCUGUAAGAAAAGUAAGAUCGUUGUUGAGGUCAUAGGAUACAUAAAUGGUGACCUUUCAAUUUUUCAUAGAUUUCCUAAUGUAUAUGAGCACUAGAAACAGAGUGGCGAUGGGGAAGAGACCAGGUCAGCCACAUGGUUGCCCCAUUGUGGACCUAAGCUGGUUGAAUGCAAACAUAGAAGGAACUUCCCUUUCA